RNAcentral lists this long non-coding RNA (558 nucleotides) under Medicago truncatula (barrel medic). RNAcentral describes it as "lncRNA gene7277". Lineage: Eukaryota; Viridiplantae; Streptophyta; Magnoliopsida; Fabales; Fabaceae. The record is from RNAcentral.
UGAUAAAGUUCGCAUAAGGAGGAAAUAGUUACCUUGAAACAACAUGUCGGGCAUCUGAACUUUAUCGUUGAACAAGUCGUCAAAGAUCAUAGCACUCAAAUUGUUUUCUUCGAGAAUGAGAGGAGUUGUCAUUUCGUCGAGAAAAGGUUAGUGUGAAUUAGGGUUUAGUUAUUUUUAUUUAUUUUAGAACCCUUGGGUUGAAAUUACCAAAAGGGCAAGAGUAUAUGUUGAUAGAUCCACUACUGAAAUUAGCUUUUUUUAGGUAGAAAUUAGCCCAAUGUUGGCAAUAUAUUUUCUUCGAAGAAAAUAUAUUUAAUAUUAUUUUCUUAUUCUGUUGAUGGUAAAAAGGGAAAUUAUAUUUCAUUCACUCACACUUAAGAGAAGGCAAUGUUAAAACAUAGGUAAAAUGUUUUGGAAUGCAACGGUGAUGCAUGUGAAUUGGGAAGUCUAUUUAUAUACUCUCUCCGUCCUAAAUUGUACGUCACUUUAGGAAGAAAAAAAAUUGUCCCAAAUUGUAUGUCAUUUUACAAUACCAAUGAAACAUUAAUGUUACUUUUU